RNAcentral lists this ribosomal RNA (200 nucleotides) under uncultured Glomus. Its description in RNAcentral is "partial small subunit ribosomal RNA". It matches the Rfam family "Eukaryotic small subunit ribosomal RNA", at positions 591 to 789 of the family's 1831-position model. The record is from RNAcentral. RNAcentral also lists the same sequence under 1 other name. Lineage: Eukaryota; Fungi; Glomeromycota; Glomeromycetes; Glomerales; Glomeraceae.
CCAAUAGCGUAUAUUAAAGUUGUUGCAGUUAAAAAGCUCGUAGUUGAAUUUCGGGAUUGACACAUCGGUCGUGCCUUAAGGGGUAUGAACUGGUGUAGUCAGUUUCUCACCUUCUGGAGAACCGCGAUGUCCUUAAUUGGGUGCCGCGGGGAACCAGGACCUUUACUUUGAAAAAAUUAGAGUGUUUAAAGCAGGCAUUU